ACACCCCGAGCCGCAGCUCCCAGGUGCGUGUUAAAAGCUGGAGGGGGGAUAUGUGAUCCCAGGACCAAAAGCGCGGGGCCAGACUCAUCGGUUCAUUCAACAACCAGUAUUUAGUGCCUGCUGUGUUCUGCAGGCCCUGCCAUAGGCGCUUGAUACAGCGGUGCAUAGCGUAUGAGAAAGAUCUGUCCUGGCUGAGCAUCCGUAAUAUAAAAAUCUGAAAUCUGAAAUGCUCCAAAAUCCUAAACUUUUUGAGUGCUGACAUUAUGCCACAAAUGGAAAAUUUCAUACCUGACCUUAUGUGAG
Molecule: long non-coding RNA, 303 nt
Filed under: Homo sapiens (human)
Lineage: Eukaryota; Metazoa; Chordata; Mammalia; Primates; Hominidae
Description: non-protein coding lnc-POLD3-1:6
Source: RNAcentral